RNAcentral lists this transfer RNA (73 nucleotides) under Stegodyphus mimosarum. It matches the Rfam family "tRNA". Rfam says of the family: Transfer RNA (tRNA) molecules are approximately 80 nucleotides in length. The record is from Rfam by way of RNAcentral. Lineage: Eukaryota; Metazoa; Arthropoda; Arachnida; Araneae; Eresidae.
GCCUUCGUGGUGUAGUGGUCAGCACAUUCGACAUGUGUUCCAGAGGUCCGUGGUUCGAAUCCCGGCGAUUGCA